RNAcentral lists this ribosomal RNA (495 nucleotides) under uncultured bacterium. Its description in RNAcentral is "partial 16S ribosomal RNA". It matches the Rfam family "Bacterial small subunit ribosomal RNA", at positions 28 to 507 of the family's 1533-position model. The record is from RNAcentral.
GACGAACGCUGGCGGCGUGCCUAAUACAUGCAAGUAGAACGCUGAAGGAGGAGCUUGCUCUUCUGGAUGAGUUGCGAACGGGUGAGUAACGCGUAGGUAACCUGCCUGGUAGCGGGGGAUAACUAUUGGAAACGAUAGCUAAUACCGCAUAAUAGUAGAUGUUGCAUGAUAUUUACUUAAAAGGUGCAAUUGCACCACUACCAGAUGGACCUGCGUUGUAUUAGCUAGUUGGUGGGGUAACGGCUCACCAAGGCGACGAUACAUAGCCGACCUGAGAGGGUGAUCGGCCACACUGGGACUGAGACACGGCCCAGACUCCUACGGGAGGCAGCAGGAGGGAAUCUUCGGCAAUGGACGAAAGUCUGACCGAGCAACGCCGCGUGAGUGAAGAAGGUUUUCGGAUCGUAAAGCUCUGUUGUAAGAGAAGAACGAGUGUGAGAGUGGAAAGUUCACACUGUGACGGUAUCUUACCAGAAAGGGACGGCUAACUACGUG